AUCGCGCGUAGCUCUGUUUUUGACGGAUCAGCGGAGUAGUGUUACUGAGAGUCAAGCGAGCGAAGGCAUGUGGGGGAUGCCUGGGCACACAGAGGCAAAGAAGGCCGUGGUAAG
This 114-nucleotide unclassified non-coding RNA is filed under the name uncultured bacterium. RNAcentral describes it as "partial contains 16S-23S ribosomal RNA intergenic spacer and 23S ribosomal RNA". The record is from RNAcentral.